Molecule: unclassified non-coding RNA, 246 nt
Filed under: uncultured fungus
Lineage: Eukaryota; Fungi
Description: partial contains 5.8S ribosomal RNA, internal transcribed spacer 2, and large subunit ribosomal RNA
Source: RNAcentral
AACGCACAUUGCGCCCGCUAGUAUUCUGGCGGGCAUGCCUGUUCGAGCGUCAUUUCAACCCUCAAGCACUGCUUGGUGUUGGGGCCCUGCGGAAACGCAGGCCCUGAAAACUAGUGGCGGGCUCGCUGUAACUCCGAGCGUAGUAGUUCUCCUCUCGCUUAGGACGUUUCGGCGGUCUCCAGCCGUAAAACCCCCAAUUUAUAGAAGGUUGACCUCGGAUCAGGUAGGAAUACCCGCUGAACUUAA